AUUCCUCCGCAGCCUCGCCAUUCUCGCUGCUGCCAUUCUAGCUGGGCGAGGAUCCUUGGAUGUGACGCUCUCUGUUCGCUCACCUCUCCGUUCGCUCUCCGUUUCUCCUUUCUCCUUUUCUCCUCUUUGUUUCCCCUCUUUUGUUUCACCUCUUUCUCCUUUCUCCUUCCUUCGCCUCCAUUUGCACCUCCAUUUGCGCCUCAGAUUGCCGCAGUUCGCAUUUGCUCGAUUGGGUUAUUUGGUUCGAUUGCUCGCAUUUGCGCCUCAGUCCACUCCUUUUCUGUUUCUGGAUAAAACUUGGACAACUUGAAAGUUAAAGCUGCUGCAAACUUUGUCCAGCUUAUUUCAUAUAAUAUCAAGUCAUGCCAAUAGAUAAAUCGUGGACUUCUAAACCACGAAACACCAUUGAAUAUUUUUUUGGAUUUUGCUUUUGAACAUGGUAAUGGUCGUGUUAUUAAGUGUCCAUGUUCAAAAUGUGGUUUCAAUAAAUGGCAAACUAGGGAUGCGGUUCUAGAACACUUAACAUGCAGACCUUUUCUUGAAAACUACAAAACAUGGUAUAUGCAUGGUGAAGGACCAAGUGUAAGUGAUUCCAUGGCUGGUAGAAGUGCAAAUGUGGUUCAAGAUUUUUUAGAAUCUCAAAAUCCAAUGGAAGACAUGUUGAAUGAUGCAUUCGGGUUUGUGGGAAAUGAUGUUAAUGAUUUUGACAGGGCUACCGAAGAUGAUGGUGUGCAAGCUAAUAUGAUGCGUGAUGAAGGAAAUAUAGAUUUUGAUGCUUUGUUGAAGGAAAAUAACCAACCAUUAUACGAUGGUUGUACAAAGUAUUCAAAGUUAUCAAUCAUGUUGAAGUUAUAUCAUAUAAAGUGCAUGUGUAGAAUGAGUGACAAAGCAAUGACACUGAUUCUAGAGUUGCUAAAGGACGCAUUUGAACAUGCUAAGUUUCCUAGCUCAUUCUACGAGGCCAAGAAUUCAAUUAGCAAGCUUGGUCUUAACUAUGUCAAAAUACCAGCUUGCCCAAAAGACUGCAUGCUAUAUUGGGGUGAAGAGAAUGAAGACUUAGAAGAAUGUAAACGGUGUAAGAUGUCUAAAUGGAAAGAUAAAAAUAAGAAACAAUAUGCAAAGAUAUUGCGUUACUUUCCUUUAAAGCCGAGAUUGCAAAGAUUAUUUAUGUCUCCUAAGACAAGUGAUUCUAUGACAUGGCAUGCAUCAGUAAAAAACCAAGACGAAUUGAUGAGGCAUCCUAGAGAAAUAUUAAAAAAAA
Molecule: long non-coding RNA, 1261 nt
Organism: Vigna unguiculata (cowpea)
Lineage: Eukaryota; Viridiplantae; Streptophyta; Magnoliopsida; Fabales; Fabaceae
Source: RefSeq, a predicted model, not a curated record